Molecule: long non-coding RNA, 3318 nt
Organism: Heterocephalus glaber (naked mole-rat)
Lineage: Eukaryota; Metazoa; Chordata; Mammalia; Rodentia; Bathyergidae
Source: RefSeq, a predicted model, not a curated record
AGGGGCUGCAGGGGUGUUAAGAUCCUGGGCGGAUCUGUGGCUUGGCCUCCUUCUGCCUGGGGUACUUGGGAGGCGUAUGGUCUGUUUACACCGGCGAGGACUCAGCCCCAGCCUGGCGCGGCCACGGCCAGCACCCAGGGUGUCAGCUCUGCUGGGUGACAAACGUCCGCCUCCCUGAGCCUCUGUCGGCCCCCUGGAAAAUGGGGCUGCUCCCGCCCACGGUGGGGAGGCCGCGUGGGAGCUGUGCUGUGUGAGCGAGAGUCCGGCCGGAGGUCAGGCUCGAGGCCAAGGCUGGCCCAGCCCGGCUGCCAGGACACAGUGGGGAGGGAGCCCGAGGCAGCUCCUGAGUCACGGUUUCCCGGUGCUGCCAGGCCAGGCGGGAAAGAGGCGGUGGGCAGAGCCGGAAGUCGGGAGCUGGGGAGUCCCGGAAAACAGAGACCACGGUUGUAGAUUUCUCGGACAGAAUGGACAGAAAACCACCUGUCAGAGGAGAAGGGUCCCUACGGUGUCAGGGUGUGGCCACUGUGGCCUCUGAGUCAUGGGCAGCGGACUCAAUCUCUGCGAACUCUCCUCUUUCUUUCUUUCUUUCUUUUUCUUUCUUUCUUUCUUUCUUUCUUUCUCUCUCUCUCUCUCUCUCUCUUUCCUUCCUUCCUUCCUUCUUUCUUUCCUUCUCUCUCUUACCCCUCCAUCCCUCCGUCCCUCCCUCCCUCCCUCCUUUCUUUCUUUCUUUCUUUUUUUCUUUCCUUCUUUCUGCCUUGGAGACAGGGUCUUGCUAUGUAGCCCAGGGCUGGCCUUGAAUUUGUGCUGAUCCUCCUGCCUCAGCCUCCUGAGUGCUGGGAUUUCAGGCGUGUGGCACCACACCCUGAAGCUCUCGUGAGCUGUUGUCACCCAGGGAGACAGCAUGGUGAGUUUAUAGCAUGACCCUGUGAGGAGGUCAACAGGGAAGAGUUGGGAUGGAGGAAGCAGCUUCCAUUGUGUUGCAAGGGUGAGGGGUGAGGAAAGGGUUCUUAGGAAUUAAUGCCAGGGGAAGAGCUGAAGGAAGUAAAGGAGGGAGCUAGUCAAGCAUCUGCAGAGCACCACAGGCAGAGGGCAGGGCAAGUGCAAAGGCCCUGAGGCAGGGAUAGGACUGGCAUAUGGAGAGCAGCCAGGAGGCUGGUGUGGCUGGAACAGAGUGGACAUGGCAGGAGCUGAGAUCAGCAUGGGGUGGGUAGGCAGAGGGUACAGGCACGAGGAGGAUUUGGUUUUUUCUCUGACACACGUGCGAGCCCCUGGAAGGCCGUGAGCAGAGGGGAGUAGUGAGGCACAGUCAGAUCUCAGGGAGAUUUGGGGAGAAUCGACCUGUGGCAGCGUGGGGCUAAGGUGGGGGCUAAAGACAGAGAGGCACCAGGGUCUGGAUUGGGACCAGGACCCCCAGACCUCUGGCUUCUGCCUCGUAGGUGCCCGGGUGCCCAAGGCCAGGCCAGUGCCACCCCUCACCGGCCAGCCUUCCCCAAGAGUGCUCUGUGGGUUUCUUGUUUGCUUGUCGUUUUGCUACCCUGGAGAUUAACCCAGGGCCUUCACCCUGAGCUACAUCCCCAGCCCUUUUUAAGUAUUUUAUUUUGAGAUAAGAUCUCACUAAGCUGCCCAGGCUGGACUCAAACUUUUGAUCCUCCUGCCUCAGCCUCACAGGUGCUGGGAUUCCAAGCCUGGGCCACCACGCCUGGUCAGGAGGGCUUCCGGGUGAGGCGUCCCCCAGGCCCCUGACUUCCCUCGCUCCCUCCUCACCCUUAGCCCAGCCAGCACGAUGCUCAGGCCCAGGAGGUGCGGGUCACCAGGUGAUGGUGAGACAGGAACAGCCGGAGCCUCCGGCAGGGAGCACAGCCUGCCCAGGGUGCCCAGCACACCCCCAGGCUGCGUGGCUCAGCCCUGAUGGCCACGUCUCCCACCCCCGACGUGCCAGGUCGUGGGAUCCUGGUGGAGCCUGGCGGUGACUCAGAGGAAUCGCCCCAGACAGGACCCGGCUGGGUGUUCAGACCAGAAACCACCACUUGACGGCUCCGUGGAGCUCAGGCCGGACAGCUUGGCUGUGUUGUUCAGGUUGUCGUGGUGAAUCAGCCUCUCUGUUUUAUUGUUUCCAUUCUGUCAUGUGUUCCAGUGUGUUCUGGUGCCUUCCCCUCCUUUCGGUUCUAUUGUGUCUCUGUAUCCGCUCAUCGAAUGUUUACUGAGCAUCUACUCUGUGACAGGCAGUGUUCUCGAUGCUGGUGUCACAACUUUGGAUAAAGCACCAAAAGGUGAUGAGAGCCCCGGACAGCAGCUGCAAAAAGUUGGUAGCACAGAGCUGAAUGGGGAGGGGGCAGAUUCUUUUCACAGAGGGAAGAGAAGGCUCAGGAAGGGCCUCACCAGAAGGUGACAUUCAAGCAGGAGCCUGAAGGGGUGCCGGAGGAGGCUUGGAGGUGCCUGGGUCUCAGGAAGGGUGGUCCUGGCAGAGGUACAGCAAGUGCAAAGGCCCUGAGGCUGGAAUUGCCUGGUAGGUUCAGGGAAUGGCAGGGAGGCCAGUGUGGCUGGAGCAGGUAACCAGGAGGGAGCGGGGCUCAUGAGGUGGGAAAAUACUUCACCUGUGCAUUUUGGGCAGUUUAAGGAUUUGCAAGAAUAUUGUGUCUUUCCAGCAGCUAACUCGCCACUGAGAUGUGUCUCUUGCCCACUGGACUUCGGGCCCCCUUCCAGAGCUGGGCCACAGCAACAGGGCCUGGGCUGCUCCAUUCACUCCUCCAUUGUUUUAUUCCAGCAUUCAUCUGCCUCGCCCACAUUUACAGAGCUGGGGCCGUGGGGAAGAGCAGACGCUGUCGCUGCCUGAGUGAGCCGCCGAAGCCCAAAGGGGAGGCUGGACGAGACCCUGGGUGAACAUCCCGAAAGGCUGGCCACUCUGCGCCACAGGAUGGUAUGGGGUGAGCAGCUGACCUUGGCCAGGCCCUUCCUCCAUGAUGUUCCCACCUGGAGCCGGACGGCAUGGUUGGAGACCUCUGAAUCCGUGCACCGAAAUGAGCCUUUUCCUCUUGAAGCUGUGGAUGUCAGAUUCUUUGUCCUAGUAAUAGACAACCCGGGCCCACCCCUUUUCUGAACCUUUUCAGGAAUUAGUUUCUUCACUCUCCCUGUGCCCAUUUCACAGGGGGACACUGAGGCACAGGGAAGUAAACAGCAGCUGGCAGAGCCAGCUUCACUCCUGGGUGGUUGGUUCUGGCCCCCCUUCUCUGUGUGCUGCCUGCGGUGCCUGUCAAGUGUGGAGAGGGGUUUAUUGCUCAGUUUUUCCUGCUGUUGAAUGUAAAAUGUUGUCACGAUGAA